ACCUGACGCAGCGACGCCGCGUGCGGGAAGAAGGCCUUCGGGUUGUAAACCGCUUUCAGGAGGGACGAGGCCACUCGGGUUAAUAGCCCAGAGGGUGACGGUACCUCCAGAAGAAGCCCCGGCUAACUACGUGCCAGCAGCCGCGGUAAUACGUAGGGGGCUAGCGUUGUCCGGAUUUAUUGGGCGUAAAGAGCGCGUAGGCGGCCGAGUAAGUCCGACGUGAAAUCUGGAGGCUCAACCUCCAGCGGUCGUUGGAAACUACUCGGCUAGAGUCCGGAGGAGGAGAGUGGAAUUCCUGGUGUAGCGGUGAAAUGCGCAGAUAUCAGGAAGAACACCGAUGGCGAAAGCAGCUCUCUGGGACGGUACUGACGCUGAGGCGCGAAAGCGUGGGGAGCGAACAGGAUUAGAUACCCUGGUAGUCCACGCCGUAAACGAUGGGUGCUAGGUGUGGGCGGUGUCGACUUCGCCCGUGCCGAAGCUAACGCAUUAAGCACCCCGCCUGGGGAGUACGGCCGCAAGGCUA
This 523-nucleotide ribosomal RNA is filed under the name uncultured Actinomycetes bacterium. Its description in RNAcentral is "bacterial SSU rRNA". It matches the Rfam family "Bacterial small subunit ribosomal RNA", at positions 381 to 896 of the family's 1533-position model. The record is from RNAcentral. Lineage: Bacteria; Bacillati; Actinomycetota; Actinomycetes.